UAGCUGUUGCCGGCUCGAAUGCCUGGGUUUAUAUCCUGAUCAUUAUCCCUCCAGCUUGCUCUCAGGCAAUAGAUGAUUGGCUAUUUCUUUACCUCCUGUUUUUGCCUAAUUAGCUUUUUAGUGAGCUCUCUUUACCACCUGAUUGGUGGGGUGUGAGCUAAGUUGCAAGUCCCGUGUUUAAAGGUGGAUGUAGUCACCUUCCCAGCUAGGCUUAGGGAUUCUUAGCCUAGGAAAUCCAGCUAGUCCUGUCUUUCAAUAACAGUCCCUUCCUAAAAUAAACCCCUUCCUUCCUUGGGGAUCAGACUUCCUUUGAAACUAACAAAUUGGCCACAAGAUUAGAAAUUAUGGCUCAGGAGUCAUGCAGCCAGAGGCCACAAGAUUCUUCACCUCCCCAGUUGCUCCCAUAGGUAACAUUGCUAUUAUAAAACCUAAGAUUGGUGUUUGAGACAUUUUUUCAGAGCCUGCAUUGUGAUGGACCAGCUGGCACCACCCAGGCUGGUAACCUGGUUUAUCUGGUCUCAAAAGCUAAAGCUCCAACCCAGGAACUGACUCAGUACAAGAAGUCAAGCUCCUCUAUAACUGCCCAAGGGGUUCACCUUGCCUGUUGCCUAGACGGAGCCAAUUUAUCAAGAUAGGGGAAUUGCAAUAGAAAAAGAGUAAUUCAUGCAGAGCCCGC
This 676-nucleotide long non-coding RNA is filed under the name Homo sapiens (human). Its description in RNAcentral is "non-protein coding lnc-SPOPL-11:1". Lineage: Eukaryota; Metazoa; Chordata; Mammalia; Primates; Hominidae. The record is from RNAcentral.